CUACGGGGUGCACCAGUCGAGAAUCUUCCGCAAUGGGCGAAAGCCUGACGGAGCGAUGUCGCGUGAUGGAUGAAGUCUUUCGGGAUGUAAACAUCUUUUAUAAGGGAGGAAGUUUAUUGACGUUACCUUAUGAAUAAGGGGUUGCUAAAUCGGUGCCAGCAGCAGCGGUAAUACCGGUACCCCGAGCGUUAUCCGGAAUCAUUGGGCGUAAAGCGUGUGUAGUCGGUCUUAUUAGUCUUCUGUCAAAUCCUCAGGCUUAACCUGAGGCUCGCAGGAGAAACGGUAAGACUAGAGAGUGUGAGGGGUAAGUGGAACUCAUAGUGUAGGGGUGAAAUCCGUUGAUAUUAUGGGGAACACCAAAAGCGAAGGCAACUUACUGGCACAUUUCUGACGCUCAGACACGAAAGCGUGGGUAGCGAAUGGGAUUAGAUACCCCUGUAGUC
Molecule: ribosomal RNA, 443 nt
Filed under: uncultured bacterium
Lineage: Bacteria
Description: partial 16S ribosomal RNA
Rfam family: Bacterial small subunit ribosomal RNA
Source: RNAcentral